CUUGACUGAAGCCAAAAAGAGGCUUAUCACUGUUAAUGAUAGAACUGAAUCGCCUUCCUGUCAA
This 64-nucleotide transfer RNA is filed under the name Cherax cairnsensis. Its description in RNAcentral is "tRNA-Asn". Lineage: Eukaryota; Metazoa; Arthropoda; Malacostraca; Decapoda; Parastacidae. The record is from RNAcentral.